CAAUGCGGAACAAUGUUUUGCAAUUGGAUUGAGAACAACGUACAAACCUUAUCGAUAAACAAUUGGAGGGCAAGUCUGGUGCCAGCAGCCGCGGUAAUUCCAGCUCCAAUAGCGUAUAUUAACGUUGUUGCAGUUAAAAAGCUCGUAGUUGAAAUGAAGGGUAGUUGUGUAAUGAAUACAUUCGUGUAUUUUGUUAUUCUACUACCCUCCUUCUAAAUUCGAUAUAUGAGUAUUAAUUUACUUGUAUAUGGUUUUAGACBUUUACUGUGAGAAAAUUAGAGUGUUCAAAGCAGGCAUUUGCUUGAAUAUAUUAGCAUGGAAUAAUCAUGUAUGAUUUUCAUGAUGUAUUUGAUUGGUUUGGUUCAUGAGAAUAAGAUUAAAAGGGACAGUUGGGGGUAUUCAUAUUCAAUAGUCAGAGGUGAAAUUCUCGGAUUUAUGGAAGAUGAACAAGUGCGAAAGCAUUUACCAAGGAUGUUUUCAUUAAUCAAGAACGAAAGUUAGG
RNAcentral lists this ribosomal RNA (502 nucleotides) under uncultured Blastocystis sp. RNAcentral describes it as "bacterial SSU rRNA". It matches the Rfam family "Eukaryotic small subunit ribosomal RNA", at positions 479 to 1005 of the family's 1831-position model. The record is from RNAcentral. Lineage: Eukaryota; Bigyra; Opalinata; Blastocystidae.